This 467-nucleotide ribosomal RNA is filed under the name uncultured fungus. Its description in RNAcentral is "eukaryotic LSU rRNA". It matches the Rfam family "Eukaryotic large subunit ribosomal RNA", at positions 169 to 649 of the family's 3401-position model. Lineage: Eukaryota; Fungi. The record is from RNAcentral.
CACGGCUACGGUUUAAAUUUCUUGGAACAGAAUNUCAUAGAGGGUGAGAGUCCCGUCUUGAACCGAUUGCUUCGUCCAUGUGAAACUCCUUCGNCGAGUCGAGUUGUUUGGGAAUGCAGCUCAAAAUGGGUGGUAAAUUUCAUCUAAAGCUAAAUAUUGGCCAGAGACCGAUAGCGCACAAGUAGAGUGAUCGAAAGAUGAAAAGCACUUUGAAAAGAGAGUUAAACAGUAUGUGAAAUUGUUGAAAGGGAAGCGCUUGUAAUCAGACUUGAGCUUAACAGUUCCCCCUUCGUUCUNNUUGGGUUAUUCUGUUUUGUCCAGGCCAACAUCGGUUCGAGUGGUUGGUUAAAGACUUUGGGAAUGUAUCUNNCCUCCGGGGUCGACUUAUAGCCCAGAGUGUCAUGCAGCCUACUUGGACUGAGGAACGCGCUUCGGCUCGGAUGUUGGCGUAAUGGUUAUAAGCGACC